RNAcentral lists this ribosomal RNA (253 nucleotides) under uncultured bacterium. Its description in RNAcentral is "partial 16S ribosomal RNA". It matches the Rfam family "Bacterial small subunit ribosomal RNA", at positions 524 to 776 of the family's 1533-position model. The record is from RNAcentral.
UACAGAGGGCUCAAGCGUUGUUCGGAUUCAUUGGGCGUAAAGGGUGCGUAGGUGGCGGGGUUAGUCAGGUGUGAAAUCUCGGGGCUCAACCCCGAAACUGCACUUGAUACUGCCUUGCUAGAGUACUGGAGAGGAGAUUGGAAUUUACGGUGUAGCAGUGAAAUGCGUAGAUAUCGUAAGGAAGACCAGUGGCGAAGGCGAAUCUCUGGACAGUUCCUGACGCUGAGGCACGAAGGCCAGGGGAGCAAACGGG